Camelina sativa (false flax) is the source of this 546-nucleotide non-coding RNA. NCBI's taxonomy places the organism in Eukaryota, Viridiplantae, Streptophyta, Magnoliopsida, Brassicales, Brassicaceae. The record is from RefSeq and is a predicted model, not a curated record.
UGAAAUUAACCUUAUUGAUCUGCAAAUUUCUCAAUCAUCAAAGAUAUCAUGGAUUCAAAUCAAACCCAGUACAACAAAAAUUUGUUAUCGUUAUUGAUCUAUAAUAGUUUUGCAAAGGUUAGUUUCGAGCAGCCAUUUCCGUCAGAUCAGAUCCAGAUUCAGUUCAUGAAAGACAGCUAUAUGUAGCUAAUAUUGAUUCCGGGCUCGUCUAUUCACAUCGAUAUAUACUUAUCUACAGAUGAGAAAGCAAGGAUUUUAACUUAGAUGCACCAUGCGACUGAGUAAGGUUGUUAAUCUCUGAUAUAAGAAAAUGAAGGGCUAUUGAUUUCUGGAAAUGCUCUCUUAUCGUGUUAAAAGAUAAGAUCAGUCUUUGAACACAAAAAAAAAAAAAAGAUAAAAUCAGUGUUGAUGUGCUAAUUUUUCGUAUUGAAAAACUUAUUUAUAGAGGUCAUAAGUCUCUUGGGGUUAGGUGGAUAGAAGAUUUGAGAAUAGGUUUUUGACACGCUAAAUUUUAAAAAUUGAGAAUAUCGUUUUUUUUUUCAAUUU